UACGUAGGGGGCAAGCGUUGUCCGGAAUUAUUGGGCGUAAAGAGCGUGUAGGCGGUCCGGUAAGUCAGCUGUGAAAGUCAAGGGCUCAACCCUUGAAAGCCGGUUGAUACUGUCGGGCUAGAGUCCGGAAGAGGCGAGUGGAAUUCCCGGUGUAGCGGUGAAAUGCGCAGAUAUCGGGAGGAACACCAAUGGCGAAGGCAGCUCGCUGGGACGGUACUGACGCUGAGACGCGAAAGCAUGGGGAGCGAACAGG
RNAcentral lists this ribosomal RNA (253 nucleotides) under uncultured bacterium. RNAcentral describes it as "partial 16S ribosomal RNA". It matches the Rfam family "Bacterial small subunit ribosomal RNA", at positions 524 to 776 of the family's 1533-position model. The record is from RNAcentral.